GAGAUAAAGUAUAUCUGUUCUGCUGCAAGUUACAUGCCAAGAUCAAAAGAAAGAAUAUCAACACUCUGUAACAACAAUGUGCCAUGUUGCCAAAAGGAGACAUUUAUGAAUAUUCUACAAGCACAAGUAUAUUGCCAAUACUCUUGUGCAAAAAGAAACAUAGAAAAUUAUGUGUUAGUUUUCUUUUCUUUUCUUAUUUUUUUUAAGUUGUGUUGGGUUUGAUCAGCUACUAUGAACAACUCACAGAAAAUUCAAUUUGACCUAGAAAUAUAUGUUUUUUUUCUCUCUCUCGUUGAUUAGGUUUUUUGGCUUAGUAAUUUAGGAGCAUUACAAACAGGUUUUUAAAUUUAGUAACCUUAUCUUGCUCUAUAAAGUAAUUCAAUUGUGAUAUCAUAUUGGCCGAACCCUCCACAAUCUUCAUUUUCUCUCAGAUUUAAGCACAUGAAGGCCUUCUGUUCUAAAGACUGUUGGCAACAAAUUGAAGCAGUCUCUCCAAGUCUCAACUUUCUCUCGCUAUUAUUUCAGGUCCCAUCCAGACUCUUACCAAAUGCUAUAAAAAGGGACCAGAAAAUUUUAGAGCAAUGAGAGAGGAAACAAUUGCAUGAAUGUGGACUCAUUGCCAUAAACAAAUAUGUUUAACUGCAACAUUUUCUAGUCAAUACUCUGAUAAUACUCUACACACAAGUACUAAGGUAUGAUCUUGACAAAAAGUUGCUACAUAUCUAUCUACCAAAUCAAGCCCAUGUAUUUUAGGUGCACGGUGUACAAAGAGCCCCAAACCUACAUGCAACAGAGCAUAAGUUUAUUGCAGACCAAGGUCAUACCAAUAACUUUUGACUUGAAUCUAAAAUGAACAGAGUGUCUAUAAAAAAAUAACCCUUAAAAUAUAAAAUUGGUGUAAGCCAAUGGAUAAUUCACCACAGAGCAACAAAAAAUCAGGUGCAGUGUUCUAUGAAACUUCAAGGGGACUGACACUGCCAAAAGACUGACUUAGUUUAGUUGAAAUCCAGAACUAGAUAGGUUCUAGUGCUUUAGUAUCUCAUUUCUAGUCUCCUGUGCCUAGAGGGGGUUCACCAAUUUAAAUUUUCAAUUGUCAAAUGAAUACUAACAAUGCAUAAUGAGACAAGAAUUUCAACUUUCAUGCAGCAAAUAUAAGUUCUAUACAGAAAACAAAGCUCAACAACAUUCAGUUACAUAAUUGGGGAACAAGCACCAAGUACAACAGGGAUAAGUUUAGAACAAAACGAGGAUUCAUCAUUCUGGCAUCAAGACAAUAAAUGUUAUCAGAAAGCUCUAAAAAUUGGAAAUGUUGUCCCAACUACUAUUUGGGUUCUUGAGUUAAAGACAGAUGUUGAUGUAACUGAUCUCUGUAGAUAUGGCUUACUUCAGCGGCUAAUGAAAAUUAUCAAUGAAACGAUCCUCACCCUCAAAUGAUACUUGUAUAAUGAAUUAUGAUUCAUCUAUCUACCCCAAGUUAAACUACAAAUCCACCUUCCUUUGGCGUCUGAGUUCCAUCUGUCCAUGCAAUAAACUAACACCAUUCUGUUAACAUCUACCAUAUGGCAGGAGACCCAAUCUCUCUACAACUUGCAAACAAAGAAACACAGUAAUACUGCCCUAAAUUCAUAUCAAUUUCAGAUAAUUGAAUCCUAGUUUCAUUCAACUCCAUGCACCAUCAUUCGUCUUUUAACUCAUAACCUUCUCUUGUGUUUCAUUUCAAAAUCAAGAUUACUGAACAUUCUCAUCAAAUUGAAGUCUCUAGAUCAACAAUUAUUUUAUUGAACAACUAUCAUGCAUAUAUAUAAAAGCAGUUGUCAGUUACUCCACUAACAAGUGAGUCGGCUU
Molecule: unclassified non-coding RNA, 1845 nt
Filed under: Hevea brasiliensis (rubber tree)
Lineage: Eukaryota; Viridiplantae; Streptophyta; Magnoliopsida; Malpighiales; Euphorbiaceae
Source: RNAcentral